Molecule: unclassified non-coding RNA, 1155 nt
Filed under: Gigantopelta aegis
Lineage: Eukaryota; Metazoa; Mollusca; Gastropoda; Neomphalida; Peltospiridae
Description: centrosomal protein of 19 kDa-like, transcript variant X1
Source: RNAcentral
GGAAGUGUCAAGCUUGAACAAGUUGACUUUGAGAUUUUUCACGUCAAUUUUUGAUAAAUGCACGGUUAUUACUAAUGUCAGGUAUCAGUGAAGUCACCAGUCAUUGGUUGUAAACGAAUUUUACCAUAAUGAGAUUGCCUUGAUGCCUGACGAUGAGUACGAUAGAGCUGAAGAAAUGUGGCGUCAAGUUUGACCCACCUGCUCUUGUCCUAAUGUACAUGGACCGCAAGGCGAACAAACUGAGACUGAGGACGAUGCCGCUACGCAACUUCGACAAAUCAUCGAAACUCGAAAACGUCAUUGAAGGCCUCAAGUCGAAGCAGGCGAAAUACGUCGCUCACAUCCAACCCGCACAGCUGCUGAGACUGUUGACAAUCAUUAAAGACAAGCUGAACGGAAUGAGCCUGGAGGCAAGUCUAGCGCGGAAUGAUGCCCUCGAUCAGAUAGAUCCAGAUGAAGACUUGAACAAGCUCGACGAGGAGACUCUGUGGAGGAAGAAGUUACUCAUGGACAAGGAGUUCGAGAAAAACAGGAAGAAACCUGGCGAUCCAGAAUUUCAGUAUGAGGUGACUGAAGAAUUCGAAACCGAAGGUCCUGGGAUUGAAUCUGCUGGCUGGGACUCAGAUGGAUCUGAUCCUGAAUUUUAAUUGGUUGAAUUCUGAGGAAGUGGAUGAAAUCUGAAUUCGGAUGGGCUAAAUUCUGAGGGAUUGGAUGAAAUCUGAAUUCGGAUUGGAUGAAAUCUCAGGAAAUACCUAUUUACAGCAAUGUCUACAGCUGCUAGUUUACUAAUGGUGAUGUGUUUGCUAAUGUUCGGGUGCGAGUGUCUAGCAGACGACCAGUGCAAGACAACCUGUCUGAAUUACUACUGGCGAUGUGACAUGGAACAGGGAUGCCGGGAUUCGAACACAGGUCUCAGGAAGUAUGCUGGGACGCCACGACCACGACGUUGUGACGACCAUGACGUCAACAACAGAUUCCACUGUGACGAGUAGUCACUCGGCCAUAAUAGGUGUUUGACAAACGUCAUUGUGACGUCAUCUCUGACAAUCUUCUUGGCGUCCAAGAUACGCUAGCUGAGUUUUAUCAAUGGACCAUGAUUUGUCAAGAUCUGUUGCAAGGAUCAAUAAAAAAAAAAAAAAAAAAAAUGUCAUAUCA